UGCUUACCAAUGAUGGUGAAAAAAAAUGUCUGAACAAAUGAAUACAAAUGAUAUCAAUAUUUUCUCUGAGGUAAGCU
Molecule: small nucleolar RNA, 77 nt
Organism: Solea solea (common sole)
Lineage: Eukaryota; Metazoa; Chordata; Actinopteri; Pleuronectiformes; Soleidae
Product: small nucleolar RNA SNORD72
Exons: 1
Source: RefSeq, a predicted model, not a curated record